Molecule: ribosomal RNA, 1118 nt
Filed under: Pseudoalteromonas peptidolytica
Lineage: Bacteria; Pseudomonadati; Pseudomonadota; Gammaproteobacteria; Alteromonadales; Pseudoalteromonadaceae
Description: bacterial SSU rRNA
Rfam family: Bacterial small subunit ribosomal RNA
Source: RNAcentral
GGCUUGGCGGCAGCUACCAUGCAGUCGAGCGGUAACAUUUCUAGCUUGCUAGAAGAUGACGAGCGGCGGACGGGUGAGUAAUGCUUGGGAACAUGCCUUGAGGUGGGGGACAACCAUUGGAAACGAUGGCUAAUACCGCAUAAUGUCUACGGACCAAAGGGGGCUUCGGCUCUCGCCUUUAGAUUGGCCCAAGUGGGAUUAGCUAGUUGGUGAGGUAAAGGCUCACCAAGGCGACGAUCCCUAGCUGGUUUGAGAGGAUGAUCAGCCACACUGGAACUGAGACACGGUCCAGACUCCUACGGGAGGCAGCAGUGGGGAAUAUUGCACAAUGGGCGCAAGCCUGAUGCAGCCAUGCCGCGUGUGUGAAGAAGGCCUUCGGGUUGUAAAGCACUUUCAGUCAGGAGGAAAGGUUAGUAGUUAAUACCUGCUAGCUGUGACGUUACUGACAGAAGAAGCACCGGCUAACUCCGUGCCAGCAGCCGCGGUAAUACGGAGGGUGCGAGCGUUAAUCGGAAUUACUGGGCGUAAAGCGUACGCAGGCGGUUUGUUAAGCGAGAUGUGAAAGCCCCGGGCUUAACCUGGGAACUGCAUUUCGAACUGGCAAACUAGAGUGUGAUAGAGGGUGGUAGAAUUUCAGGUGUAGCGGUGAAAUGCGUAGAGAUCUGAAGGAAUACCGAUGGCGAAGGCAGCCACCUGGGUCAACACUGACGCUCAUGUACGAAAGCGUGGGGAGCAAACAGGAUUAGAUACCCUGGUAGUCCACGCCGUAAACGAUGUCUACUAGGAGCUGGGGUCUUCGGACAACUUUUCCAAAGCUAACGCAUUAAGUAGACCGCCUGGGGAGUACGGCCGCAAGGUUAAAACUCAAAUGAAUUGACGGGGGCCCGCACAAGCGGUGGAGCAUGUGGUUUAAUUCGAUGCAACGCGAAGAACCUUACCUACACUUGACAUACAGAGAACUUACCAGAGAUGGUUUGGUGCCUUCGGGAGCUCUGAUACAGGUGCUGCAUGGCUGUCGUCAGCUCGUGUUGUGAGAUGUUGGGGUUAAGUCCCGCAACGAGCGCAACCCCUAUCCUUAGUUGCCAGCGAUUCGGUCGGAACUCUAAAGAAGACUGCCC